GGUAGGGUGGCCGAGUGGUUUAAGGCGGCGGUCUUGAAAACCGCUAUAUCCGAAAGGGUAUCGUGAGUUCGAAUCUCACCCCUACCG
Molecule: transfer RNA, 87 nt
Filed under: Patescibacteria group bacterium
Lineage: Bacteria
Description: tRNA-Ser
Rfam family: tRNA
About the family: Transfer RNA (tRNA) molecules are approximately 80 nucleotides in length. Their secondary structure includes four short double-helical elements and three loops (D, anti-codon, and T loops). Further hydrogen bonds mediate the characteristic L-shaped molecular structure. tRNAs have two regions of fundamental functional importance: the anti-codon, which is responsible for specific mRNA codon recognition, and the 3' end, to which the tRNAs corresponding amino acid is attached (by aminoacyl-tRNA synthetases). tRNAs cope with the degeneracy of the genetic code in two manners: having more than one tRNA (with a specific anti-codon) for a particular amino acid; and 'wobble' base-pairing, i.e. permitting non-standard base-pairing at the 3rd anti-codon position.
Source: RNAcentral